GUGCUUGCUUUAGCAGCACAUAAACUAAAAUUGGAACGAUACAGAGAAGAUUAGCAUAGUUCCUGUGUAAGGAUAACACACAAAUUCAUAAACAAAUAAAUAAAUAA
This 107-nucleotide small nuclear RNA is filed under the name Salvator merianae (Argentine black and white tegu). Lineage: Eukaryota; Metazoa; Chordata; Lepidosauria; Squamata; Teiidae. The record is from RNAcentral.